CCCUGAAGCGUGGCUGCCGUGCUGCAGCUGCAGCCUGUGGAGGGAGGGGUGGGGUGGGGAGGGGUGGGGGAACCUCUGGAAAAGUUCUGCCUUGAGAGAAGUUGGCGUUAGGACCCAGGAGGGAGGCUGCGGUGGUGGAGGAGGAGGAGGAGGAGGCCUGGCUCCUUCAGCCUUUUUGGAAAGCAAGACCCGGGCGAGGAGGAGAGAGAGCAAAGCCAGCCAGCCGCCUGAGAGGGAGAAAGACCCCCCCCCCGCCCCCAAGUCGCUCGGCUCUGAUUCAGCUGCCUCUGUAGCCCACCCCUCCCCAGAAUGAGGACUCUUCUGGCCCUUCUCCUCCUCUGCCUGCCAGCAGCUCUUCUGGCUCAGGGGCAGUAUGACCUCGAUGACCCUGCCUAUCCCGAGCCCCCGUACGCCCC
RNAcentral lists this long non-coding RNA (416 nucleotides) under Notechis scutatus (mainland tiger snake). Its description in RNAcentral is "lncRNA (ENSNSUG00000018858.1)". The record is from RNAcentral. Lineage: Eukaryota; Metazoa; Chordata; Lepidosauria; Squamata; Elapidae.